UGUAGUCAUAUUCUAGUCUCAAAGAUUAAGCCAUGCAUGUGUAAGUAUAAAUAGUUAACUUUGAAACUGCGAAUGGCUCAUUAUAUCAGUUAUAGUUUAUUUGAUGAAGAAUACUAAUUGGAUAACCGUAGUAAUUCUAGAGCUAAUACAUGUAUAAAGUCUUGUAGACUGCAUUUAUUAGAAUGAAAACCAUAGGUUUCGGCCUAUUCGUGAGUAAUAAUAACUAAUCAUAUCGUAUGCUUAUGUAACGAUGUGUCUUUCAAGUUUCUGCCCUAUCAGCUUUCGAUGGUAGUGUAUUGGACUACCAUGGCAGUAACGGGUAACGAAGAA
RNAcentral lists this ribosomal RNA (330 nucleotides) under Blastocystis sp. subtype 3. RNAcentral describes it as "SSU rRNA". It matches the Rfam family "Eukaryotic small subunit ribosomal RNA", at positions 21 to 369 of the family's 1831-position model. Lineage: Eukaryota; Bigyra; Opalinata; Blastocystidae. The record is from RNAcentral.